This 487-nucleotide ribosomal RNA is filed under the name uncultured bacterium. Its description in RNAcentral is "partial 16S ribosomal RNA". It matches the Rfam family "Bacterial small subunit ribosomal RNA", at positions 28 to 507 of the family's 1533-position model. The record is from RNAcentral.
GACGAACGCUGGCGGCGCGCUUAACACAUGCAAGUCGAACGGGCUCUGUCUGGCUGUGUGCUGGGUGGGGUUAGUGGCGAACGGGUGAGUAAUACGUGAGUAACCUGCCCUCUUCUUUGGGAUAAGCCUUGGAAACGGGGUCUAAUACUGGAUAUUCCUGUCUGGUCGCAUGGCUGGGCGGGGAAAGUUUUUUUCGGUGGGGGAUGGGCUCGCGGCCUAUCAGCUUGUUGGUGGGGUGAUGGCCUACCAAGGCGUCGACGGGUAGCCGGCCUGAGAGGGUGACCGGCCACACUGGGACUGAGAUACGGCCCAGACUCCUACGGGAGGCAGCAGUGGGGGAUAUUGCACAAUGGGCGCAAGCCUGAUGCAGCGACGCCGCGUGGGGGAUGACGGCUUUCGGGUUGUAAACCUCUUUCGUCGGGGGACAAGGCUCUGCUUGGUGGUGGGGUUGAGGGUACCCGGUGAAGAAGCGCCGGCUAACUACGUG